This 407-nucleotide ribosomal RNA is filed under the name actinobacterium SCGC AAA278-C13. Its description in RNAcentral is "bacterial SSU rRNA". It matches the Rfam family "Bacterial small subunit ribosomal RNA", at positions 353 to 772 of the family's 1533-position model. The record is from RNAcentral. Lineage: Bacteria; Bacillati; Actinomycetota; Actinomycetes.
AGUGGGGAAUAUUGGGCAAUGGGCGAAAGCCUGACCCAGCGACGCCGCGUGAGGGACGAAGGCCUUCGGGUUGUAAACCUCUUUCAGCAGGGAAGAAGCGAAAGUGACGGUACCUGCAGAAGAAGCACCGGCUAACUACGUGCCAGCAGCCGCGGUAAUACGUAGGGUGCAAGCGUUGUCCGGAAUUAUUGGGCGUAAAGAGCUCGUAGGUGGUUUGCCACGUCGGAUGUGAAAACCUGAGGCUUAACCUCAGGCCUGCAUUCGAUACGGGCAGACUAGAGUGUGGUAGGGGAGACUGGAAUUCCUGGUGUAGCGGUGAAAUGCGCAGAUAUCAGGAGGAACACCGAUGGCGAAGGCAGGUCUCUGGGCCAUAACUGACACUGAGGAGCGAAAGCGUGGGGAGCAAA